This 378-nucleotide unclassified non-coding RNA is filed under the name plant metagenome. RNAcentral's name for it is "partial contains 5.8S ribosomal RNA, internal transcribed spacer 2, and large subunit ribosomal RNA". The stretch from base 1 to 105 matches the Rfam family "5.8S ribosomal RNA", at positions 50 to 154 of the family's 154-position model. The record is from RNAcentral.
GAAAUGCGAUAAGUAAUGUGAAUUGCAGAAUUCAGGGAAUCAUCGAAUCUUUGAACGCACCUUGCGCUCCUUGGUAUUUCUUGGAGCAUGCCUGUUUGAGUAUCAUGAAAUCUUCAAAGUAAAUCUUUUGUUAACUCAAUUGGUUUCUACUUUGGUAUUGGAGGUCUUUGCAGCUUCACACCUGCUCCUCUUUGUUCAUUAGCUGGAUCUCAGUGUUAUGCUUGGUUCCACUCGGCGUGAUAAGUUAUCUAUCGCUGAGGACACUGUAAAAGGUGGCCAAGGUAAAUGCAGAUGAACCGCUUCUAAUAGUCCAUUGACUUGGACAAUACUUUUAUGAUCUGAUCUCAAAUCAGGUAGGACUACCCGCUGAACUUAAGC